AUGACCAUGGCGGCUAGAAGAACCAGCAGGGAGGGGAACUGCGGCGGCGGCGGCGGGGUGAGGCAGUACAACCGGUCCAAGGUGCCGCGCCUCCGGUGGACGAGCGCCCUGCACCGCUGCUUCGUCCACGCCAUUCACAGCCUCGGAGGCCACGACAGGGCGACGCCGAAGCGGGUGCUGCAGGUGAUGGGGGUUGGAGGGCUCACCAUUUCUCAUGUCAAAAGCCAUCUGCAGAUGUACAGGAACAUGAGGAAUGAUCUUGGAAUGCAAGGGAUGCAGCAAGCAGGGCAACAGUCGGGCCAGGAGGAGCACACACGCGCAACAGGAGGAGGCACCGAAGUCUGCACCGACGAUGAUGAGGAGUGCCGUGUCCCCGGCUACGGCUCGCCAAAGCCUAGAAAGGAGUCGACGACGCUGCCGCUCCACCCGCAACUGAAAAGGAGGGCAGGGGCAUCUGAGACGGUGACAAGGGAGGAGGUGAGCGCGAGCCCCACGAGCCUGCUGAGAGUGAAAAGAGGACGAGGAAUAUGCGAGGGUAGGGACGGAGGAGGAUCCUAUGACGUUCGGCACGUUGCAGUUCUACCAUUGACAUGUGGGCCCGUUGGGAACUUGGCCCACAUGUCAGCGGCCCAAUGGCACACAGCGCACGGCAGAGGAGCCGCUUCCGGGAGGGACAUGGAGUCGUCCAGCCACGCACCGGCGGCAGCAGGUGGCCAAUACCACGUGCAUAUGGAUAUGAUGCAGGCGCAUGCCGUGCUUCAAGCGCCGCCCAUGGCCGCGGCUCGCUUGGUGGAGCCCCGCCCUUCGAUGCCGCUGGGAAUGAAGCAGAAGCAGAAGCAUCGGCGAGAGCCCUGGAUGCCUACAGCAAGGUUGCACCGCGGCGGCGAUGGCGAACUCGGCGCCGCCGCCUCCACGCUCAAAUUCUUGGGGUUCCUGGUGGCUCCGGGGCGUCAUCCUCCCCGUCCCCGUGCUGCCUGCUGCGAUGGCUACCCUAUUGAGGUCGGCACGCCUCCUAACCGCGCCGCCGCAUACACGGCCAGCCGCACCGACGGUGUCCGUCCGUGCAGACUCCAGCCGCCAGGCAACGUCGUCGACGCCGGAUUCACGAAUCUGACUCUGGCCGGUGAACGCGACGGUGGCUACUCGCUGUCGCUAGCGCUGGCCCUGUGCCCGGCCGGGGGCGGUGGCGCCAAGAGCAGCCUGCUCUCGUCGUCGACAGCGUCGUCGUCGUCGUCGUCAUCGGGGAGUCGGAUCAGCCUCGACCUGUCGCUGUCCACGCUCGACUCGUAG
RNAcentral lists this ribosomal RNA (1290 nucleotides) under Triticum aestivum (bread wheat). RNAcentral describes it as "partial small subunit ribosomal RNA". Lineage: Eukaryota; Viridiplantae; Streptophyta; Magnoliopsida; Poales; Poaceae. The record is from RNAcentral.